CCGCAUUUGUAACAGCAAUAGAUUCUGCAGUAUCAGGUAAAUCAGCUUUUCCUGAGAGAUCAUCUUCCAACUUUUCUGUUGCAGCAUUCAUAUUAAGUUCUACAUCAUGAGCAACACAUGUUUGUGCAGUUUCCGCAAUAGAAGCAGUUGCCAGAGUUCCAUUUCUAUCCCCUACAUCUACUUGAUCAUUGGCCACAGUAUCCAAUCCAUCAGUAGCUAUCUCCACUGCAGGCUCAAUCUGUUCUACUCCUUUAUCAGNNNNAGUUUCUGGCUCCACUUCUUUCUCUAAUUUCUCAUAAUCAUUUGUGGUGCCUGCAACUUCAGUAUUUUCAACACUGAUUUUCACGAUAUCCCGGCUACCCUUUAUGACUGGAUCAUCAAAAACAGCCCUGAUUUCUGAAUGUUCCUCCCCUCCCAAACCAUAAACAUCAAUUUUCCUUCCACUACUCUCUACUUCUGAGAUUUCAGUCUUAAAACCAGUUAUAGCUUCAACAUUUUUCUCAGAUCCAGUAUUCGCAUUAACUGGUUCUUC
RNAcentral lists this unclassified non-coding RNA (532 nucleotides) under Hevea brasiliensis (rubber tree). The record is from RNAcentral. Lineage: Eukaryota; Viridiplantae; Streptophyta; Magnoliopsida; Malpighiales; Euphorbiaceae.